Molecule: long non-coding RNA, 498 nt
Filed under: Hordeum vulgare
Lineage: Eukaryota; Viridiplantae; Streptophyta; Magnoliopsida; Poales; Poaceae
Description: long non-coding RNA (HVUL_LNC003366)
Source: RNAcentral
CCACGGGCUUGUUUUGUGAAGGAGUUGGAUUUCACCGCUAUUAUUGCAGUUGAUACCCUGGAAGAUGGUUUCGGGAAGCGCCCUGUAAGUAUUCUAUUUUUCAAAACUUUUGAAACAAUACCUUCUACUUAUUUUGUUGCAAUUGCAACUCUGUAUCCUUUUUAUCACAUUUUCCAUGUGUUUUUCAAUAUGUUUAGUUUUCUAGAAUGCAGUACAGCUCCACUACACCGUACGCAACAACCAAGUUUCUGUCAUCCAUAGAGCAGCUUGCCCAGUUACCCAACAAAGCUAGUGUGUCCGCAACACAGAUUACCGAUAUGGUUGGUGCUGAUGGCGCUCAACAACCAACAGAAGGUUCUACAAACGAAGUUGAUAGCACAACACGGAAUGUCCAUGAACCACCUCCGAAAAUCACGGAGGGUGGUGAUGAUGUUUGCGGCUCUUUGGAGGACUGGCUGCACCCUCUACCCACAUUUGAGGAAUUAGAGGUGAGCCAUA